UACGGAGGGUGCAAGCGUUAUCCGGAUUCACUGGGUUUAAAGGGUGCGUAGGUGGGCUAGUAAGUCCGUGGUGAAAUCUCUGAGCUUAGCUCGGAAACUGCCGUGGAUACUAUUAGUUUUGAAUGUUGUGGAGGUAAGCGGAAUAUGUCAUGUAGCGGUGAAAUGCUUAGAUAUGACAUAGAACACCGAUAGCGAAGGCAGCAAACUACGCAUAUAUUGACGCUGAGGCACGAAAGCGUGGGGAUCAAACAGG
Molecule: ribosomal RNA, 253 nt
Filed under: uncultured prokaryote
Description: partial 16S ribosomal RNA
Rfam family: Bacterial small subunit ribosomal RNA
Source: RNAcentral